RNAcentral lists this ribosomal RNA (156 nucleotides) under Acanthoplacatus sp. WWAB-2002. Its description in RNAcentral is "5.8S ribosomal RNA". The stretch from base 38 to 154 matches the Rfam family "5.8S ribosomal RNA", at positions 37 to 154 of the family's 154-position model. From Rfam's summary of the family: 5.8S ribosomal RNA (5.8S rRNA) is a component of the large subunit of the eukaryotic ribosome. It is transcribed by RNA polymerase I as part of the 45S precursor that also contains 18S and 28S rRNA. Lineage: Eukaryota; Metazoa; Platyhelminthes; Monogenea; Gyrodactylidea; Gyrodactylidae. The record is from RNAcentral.
AACUCAAGGGGGNUCCCUGGCCCCCGANGAGACNACUUGAAGAGUGCAGCAAACUGUGUUAACCAAUGUNAAACGCAAACUGCUCCGAUCAUCGGUCUCUCGAACGCAAAUGGCGGCUUUGGGCUUGCCCUUAGCCACGUUCGAUCGAGUGUCGGC